UGGGGAAUUUUGCGCAAUGGGCGAAAGCCUGACGCAGCGACGCCGCGUGUGCGAUGAAGGCCCUUGGGUCGUAAAGCACUGUCAACUGGGACGAAAACAUCGCUGUGAAUAGCGGCGAUGGUUGACGGUACCAGUAAAGGAAGCACCGGCUAACUCUGUGCCAGCAGCCGCGGUAAUACAGAGGGUGCAAACGUUGUUCGGAAUUACUGGGCGUAAAGCGCGUGUAGGCGGUUCGUUAAGUCGACUGUGAAAGCCCAUGGCUCAACCAUGGAAGUGCAGUCGAUACUGGCAGACUGGAGUCCCGGAGAGGGUGGUGGAAUUCCCAGUGUAGAGGUGAAAUUCGUAGAUAUUGGGAGGAACACCGGUGGCGAAGGCGACCACCUGGACGGGUACUGACGCUGAGACGCGAAAGCGUGGGGAGCAAACAGGAUUAGAUACCCCCGUAGUCC
RNAcentral lists this ribosomal RNA (449 nucleotides) under uncultured prokaryote. RNAcentral describes it as "bacterial SSU rRNA". It matches the Rfam family "Bacterial small subunit ribosomal RNA", at positions 355 to 796 of the family's 1533-position model. The record is from RNAcentral.